RNAcentral lists this ribosomal RNA (401 nucleotides) under uncultured Sulfurospirillum sp. RNAcentral describes it as "bacterial SSU rRNA". It matches the Rfam family "Bacterial small subunit ribosomal RNA", at positions 356 to 774 of the family's 1533-position model. Lineage: Bacteria; Pseudomonadati; Campylobacterota; Epsilonproteobacteria; Campylobacterales; Sulfurospirillaceae. The record is from RNAcentral.
GGGGAAUAUUGCACAAUGGAGGAAACUCUGAUGCAGCAACGCCGCGUGGAGGAUGACGCAUUUCGGUGUGUAAACUCCUUUUAUAGGGGAAGAUAAUGACGGUACCCUAUGAAUAAGCACCGGCUAACUCCGUGCCAGCAGCCGCGGUAAUACGGAGGGUGCAAGCGUUACUCGGAAUCACUGGGCGUAAAGGAUGCGUAGGCUGGAAAUCAAGUCGAAAGUGAAAUCCAACGGCUUAACCGUUGAACUGCUUUCGAAACUGGUUACCUAGAAUAUGGGAGAGGUAGAUGGAAUUAGUGGUGUAGGGGUAAAAUCCGUAGAUAUCACUAGGAAUACCGAUUGCGAAGGCGAUCUACUGGAACAUUAUUGACGCUGAGGCAUGAAAGCGUGGGGAGCAAACA